UGUGCAGGAAAAUAAUAAUAUGCAAAAAAUUGAAGAAUAUAAAAAAAAGACAUCGUUUGUACUUGUAAGAGGAGCACUCACCUGGUUGCGCUCCAUAAUGUAGAAAAAAGAAGAAGAAUAAUAAGAAGAACAAGAAGAACUAGUAGUAGUAGCAAUAGUAAUAGUAAUAGCAGCAGUAGCAGUAGCAGCAAUAGUAGUAGUAGCAGCAGCAACAGCAACAACAGCAGUAGCAGCAGUAGCAGCACCAGCAGUAGUAGUAACAUCAACGGUAGUAGUAGUAAUAGUAAUAGUAGCAGCAGCAGUAGUAAUAAUAGUAGUAACAACAACAACAACGAUAGUAGUAGUAGUAGCAGCAGUAGCAGUACUAACAGUAAUAACAAUAGCAACAGUAG
This 392-nucleotide long non-coding RNA is filed under the name Carica papaya (papaya). RNAcentral's name for it is "long non-coding RNA (CPAP_LNC001436)". The record is from RNAcentral. Lineage: Eukaryota; Viridiplantae; Streptophyta; Magnoliopsida; Brassicales; Caricaceae.